Non-coding RNA from Clostridium tetanomorphum DSM 665, 235 nucleotides. The record is from Rfam. Lineage: Bacteria; Bacillati; Bacillota; Clostridia; Eubacteriales; Clostridiaceae.
CAAAUGUCAGUGAACAGAAGGAGUAGCUAAGGGAGUUUAGUUUAAGCGAAUCUGGAAUGGUGAAAGCCAGGUACUGUAGUCUUUAGUGAAUGGGUCUGUGAGAUGUAGUGUGAAUUAAAAGUAGCGCUUACCGGGGGUCUACCGUUAAAAGGACAGGGUAUCGAUUUAUUUCCGUACCUGGUUAAAGAUAAUUUUAUUUAGGUGGCAUAGCGAAGUAUAACAUUUCGUCCUUUAU